UACGGAGGGGUGCAAGCGUUAUCCGGAAUCACUGGGCGUAAAAGGGUGCGUAGGCGGGUCUUUUAAGUCAGGGGUGAAAUCCUGGAGCUCAACUCCAGAACUGCCUUUGAUACUGAAGAUCUUGAGUUCGGGAGAGGUGAGUGGAACUGCGAGUGUAGAGGUGAAAUUCGUAGAUAUUCGCAAGGAACACCAGGUGGCAGGAAGGCGG
This 208-nucleotide ribosomal RNA is filed under the name uncultured bacterium. RNAcentral's name for it is "partial 16S ribosomal RNA". It matches the Rfam family "Bacterial small subunit ribosomal RNA", at positions 524 to 724 of the family's 1533-position model. The record is from RNAcentral.